This 373-nucleotide ribosomal RNA is filed under the name uncultured organism. Its description in RNAcentral is "partial 16S ribosomal RNA". It matches the Rfam family "Bacterial small subunit ribosomal RNA", at positions 527 to 896 of the family's 1533-position model. The record is from RNAcentral.
GUAGGUGGCAAGCGUUGUCCGGAAUUAUUGGGCGUAAAGCGCGCGCAGGCGGUUCUUUAAGUCUGAUGUGAAAGCCCACGGCUCAACCGUGGAGGGUCAUUGGAAACUGGAGAACUUGAGUACAGAAGAGGAAAGCGGAAUUCCACGUGUAGCGGUGAAAUGCGUAGAGAUGUGGAGGAACACUAGUGGCGAAGGCGGCUUUCUGGUCUGUAACUGACGCUGAGGCGCGAAAGCGUGGGGAGCAAACAGGAUUAGAUACCCUGGUAGUCCACGCCGUAAACGAUGAGUGCUAAGUGUUAGGGGGGUUUCCGCCCCCCUUAGUGCUGCAGCUAACGCAUUAAGCACUCCGCCUGGGAGUACGGCCGCAAGGCUG